RNAcentral lists this ribosomal RNA (223 nucleotides) under uncultured bacterium. Its description in RNAcentral is "partial 16S ribosomal RNA". It matches the Rfam family "Bacterial small subunit ribosomal RNA", at positions 15 to 228 of the family's 1533-position model. The record is from RNAcentral.
GAUCAUGGCUCAGGACGAACGCUGGCGGCGUGCCUAAUACAUGCAAGUAGAACGCUGAGGAGAGGAGCUUGCUCUUCUUGGAUGAGUUGCGAACGGGUGAGUAACGCGUAGGUAACCUGCCUUGUAGCGGGGGAUAACUAUUGGAAACGAUAGCUAAUACCGCAUAACAAUGGAUGACACAUGUCAUUUAUUUGAAAGGGACAAUUGCUCCACUACAAGAUGG